This 620-nucleotide ribosomal RNA is filed under the name Trichoderma harzianum. RNAcentral describes it as "eukaryotic LSU rRNA". The stretch from base 230 to 383 matches the Rfam family "5.8S ribosomal RNA". The record is from RNAcentral. Lineage: Eukaryota; Fungi; Ascomycota; Sordariomycetes; Hypocreales; Hypocreaceae.
CCGUUUUUGGGUGCGUCGGUGAGACAUUACCGAGUUUACAACUCCCAAACCCAAUGUGAACGUUACCAAACUGUUGCCUCGGCGGGAUCUCUGCCCCGGGUGCGUCGCAGCCCCGGACCAAGGCGCCCGCCGGAGGACCAACCAAAACUCUUUUUGUAUACCCCCUCGCGGGUUUUUUAUAAUCUGAGCCUUCUCGGCGCCUCUCGUAGGCGUUUCGAAAAUGAAUCAAAACUUUCAACAACGGAUCUCUUGGUUCUGGCAUCGAUGAAGAACGCAGCGAAAUGCGAUAAGUAAUGUGAAUUGCAGAAUUCAGUGAAUCAUCGAAUCUUUGAACGCACAUUGCGCCCGCCAGUAUUCUGGCGGGCAUGCCUGUCCGAGCGUCAUUUCAACCCUCGAACCCCUCCGGGGGGUCGGCGUUGGGGAUCGGCCCUGCCUCUUGGCGGCGGCCGUCUCCGAAAUACAGUGGCGGUCUCGCCGCAGCCUCUCCUGCGCAGUAGUUUGCACACUCGCAUCGGGAGCGCGGCGCGUCCACAGCCGUUAAACACCCAACUUCUGAAAUGUUGACCUCGGAUCAGGUAGGAAUACCCGCUGAACUUAAGCAUAUCAAAAAGCGGAAGGAA